AGUGAACGCUGGCGGUAGGCCUAACACAUGCAAGUCGAACGGCAGCACAGUAAGAGCUUGCUCUUACGGGUGGCGAGUGGCGGACGGGUGAGGAAUACAUCGGAAUCUACUUUUUCGUGGGGGAUAACGUAGGGAAACUUACGCUAAUACCGCAUACGACCUACGGGUGAAAGCAGGGGAUCUUCGGACCUUGCGCGAUUGAAUGAGCCGAUGUCGGAUUAGCUAGUUGGCGGGGUAAAGGCCCACCCAGGCGACGAUCCGUAGCUGGUCUGAGAGGAUGAUGAGCCACACUGGAACUGAGACACGGUCCAGACCCCUGGGGGAGGCAGCAGUGGGAAAUAUUGGAAAAGGGGCGCAAGCCUGACCCAGCCAUACCGCGUGGGUGAAGAAGGCCUGGGUGUUGUAAAGCCCUUUUGUGGGGAAAGAAAAGCAGCAGGUUAAUCCCCCGCUGUUCUGACGGUACCCAAAGAAUAAGCACCGGCUAACUUCG
Molecule: ribosomal RNA, 490 nt
Filed under: uncultured bacterium
Lineage: Bacteria
Description: partial 16S ribosomal RNA
Rfam family: Bacterial small subunit ribosomal RNA
Source: RNAcentral